Long non-coding RNA from Hippocampus comes (tiger tail seahorse), 83 nucleotides. RefSeq lists it as uncharacterized. The transcript has 3 exons. The record is from RefSeq and is a predicted model, not a curated record. Lineage: Eukaryota; Metazoa; Chordata; Actinopteri; Syngnathiformes; Syngnathidae.
AUCCGUGUAUCAUUCGUUCUUUCGUUUUUCAACUGCCAAUCAAAAACAAAAAAUUAAAAAGGAGACUAAUCCGUCUAUUCCAU